This 253-nucleotide ribosomal RNA is filed under the name uncultured bacterium. RNAcentral's name for it is "partial 16S ribosomal RNA". It matches the Rfam family "Bacterial small subunit ribosomal RNA", at positions 524 to 776 of the family's 1533-position model. The record is from RNAcentral.
UACGGAGGGUGCAAGCGUUAUCCGGAUUCACUGGGUUUAAAGGGUGCGUAGGUGGGCUAGUAAGUCCGUGGUGAAAUCCCUGAGCUUAACCCGGAAACUGCCAUUGAUACUAUUUGUCUUGAAUACUGUGGAGGUCAGCGGAAUAUGUCAUGUAGCGGUGAAAUGCUUAGAUAUGACAUAGAACACCAAUUGCGAAGGCAGCUGGCUACACAAAUAUUGACACUGAGGCACGAAAGCGUGGGGAUCAAACAGG